RNAcentral lists this long non-coding RNA (318 nucleotides) under Canis lupus familiaris (dog). Its description in RNAcentral is "lncRNA (ENSCAFG00845028123.1)". Lineage: Eukaryota; Metazoa; Chordata; Mammalia; Carnivora; Canidae. The record is from RNAcentral.
AUGGUGAUUAUUAGCAGAUGUGGCUGCUGUUUAUUGCAAGUGCUGGAGGCUGCUUCUUGGCCUCAUUGGCUGUCCAUACUCAUGACAACUCCAGCCCCAGUAUUUCUUGAGAGGGCAGUUCUUGCUGUACCCGUGAACUGUGGGGGCCACCUGAAUAUACUUCACGGACCCCAUGAAAAUGCCUUUGGAUUUGCCAAGAUGACCUCCUCCACCUGGAGCAUUGUGAUCAUUCACACCAUCAGCUCUAUUGCCCGAGAGCGUGGCAGACCUGGGGGCAGUCACCUCCGCGGUCGGGGGGCCGCGGCUCUCCCCAGAUGA